CCUAGGGGGGGCAGCAGUGGGGAAUAUUGGACAAUGGGCGAAAGCCUGAUCCAGCCAUGCCGCGUGUGUGAAGAAGGCCUUCGGGUUGUAAAGCACUUUCAGUGGGGAAGAAAGCCUUGGGGCUAAUACCCUCGAGGAAGGACAUCACCCACAGAAGAAGCACCGGCUAACUCCGUGCCAGCAGCCGCGGUAAUACGGAGGGUGCGAGCGUUAAUCGGAAUUACUGGGCGUAAAGCGCGCGUAGGCGGUCUGAUAAGCCGGUUGUGAAAGCCCCGGGCUCAACCUGGGAACGGCAUCCGGAACUGUCAGGCUAGAGUGCAGGAGAGGAAGGUAGAAUUCCCGGUGUAGCGGUGAAAUGCGUAGAGAUCGGGAGGAAUACCAGUGGCGAAGGCGGCCUUCUGGACUGACACUGACGCUGAGGUGCGAAAGCGUGGGUAGCAAACAGGAUUAGAUACCCCGGUAGUC
This 465-nucleotide ribosomal RNA is filed under the name Vreelandella stevensii. RNAcentral describes it as "partial 16S ribosomal RNA". It matches the Rfam family "Bacterial small subunit ribosomal RNA", at positions 338 to 795 of the family's 1533-position model. Lineage: Bacteria; Pseudomonadati; Pseudomonadota; Gammaproteobacteria; Oceanospirillales; Halomonadaceae. The record is from RNAcentral.